ACAUGAAGCUGGAAUCGCUAGUAAUCGCGGAUCAGAAUGCCGCGGUGAAUACGUUCCCGGGUCUUGUACACACCGCCCGUCACACCAUGGGAGUCGGAAAUGCCCGAAGCCAGUGACCCAACUGCAAAGAGGGAGCUGUCGAAGGCAGGUCUGAUAACUGGGGUGAAGUCGUAACAAGGUAAC
Molecule: ribosomal RNA, 183 nt
Filed under: uncultured bacterium
Lineage: Bacteria
Description: partial 16S ribosomal RNA
Rfam family: Bacterial small subunit ribosomal RNA
Source: RNAcentral